Molecule: long non-coding RNA, 2391 nt
Organism: Homo sapiens (human)
Lineage: Eukaryota; Metazoa; Chordata; Mammalia; Primates; Hominidae
Gene: BMS1P1
Product: BMS1 pseudogene 1
Source: Ensembl
GAAUUUCCGUUUCCGGCGGUGUCCAAGCGGACCUAAGGAGUCGCAGUUGUGAACAGGUUAGAGUUACUUGUUAUUGGUAAAUAGCCACUAUGGAGACUAAGGACCAGAAGAAACACAGAAAGAAAAACAGUGGACCCAAAGCUGCAAAGAAAAAGAAGUGGCAUCUGCAGGAUCUCCAGCUAGGAGACGAAGAAAAUGCCCAGAAGAGAAAUGCCAAUGCUUUUGCAGUUCAGUCUGCUGUGUGGAUGUCUCGAUCCUUUCACAGGACUCUGGAUUUGAAGACACAAAAGCAUCAUAUUCCAGUGGUUGAUGGAACUCCACUAGAGCCGCCACCAAUAGCGGUAGUGGUGACGGGGCCUCCAAAGUUGGAAAGAGCACUUUGAUAUAAUGCCUCAUUCGGAACUUCACCUGGCAGAAGUUCACCGAGAUCAGAGGCCCUGUGACGAUCGUGUCAGGUAAAAAGCGCAGACUCACCAUUAUUGAAUGUGGGUGUGACAUUAACAUGAUGAUUGAUCUGGCUAAAGUAGCAGAUCUGGUACUGAUGCUUAUAGAUGCCAGCUUUGGGUUUGAAAUGGAAAUGUUUGAGUUUCUAAACAUCUGUCAAGCACAUGGCUUUCCUAAAAUUCUGGGAGUUCUCACCCACCUCGACUCCUUCAAGCAUAACAAGCAACUGAAGAAGACAAAGAAGUGAUUAAAACACAGGUUCUGGACAGAAGUUUACCAGGUUGCCAAACUGUUCUACCUUUCUGGAAUGGUGCAUGGAGAAUAUCAAAACCAAGAAAUCCACAAUCUGGGCCAUUUUAUUACAGUUAUGAAGUUUAGGCCUCUCAUGGCAAACUUUUCACCCUUAUAUCCUGGCAGACAGUUAAAAGGUGAUUGUAAACUUUUUCUUCCUGGGCCAUAUAUUUCAAAGCUAAAAAGGCUAGAAAAAGAACAGUGAUAGGAUUUAUUUUGUGCCUAUUUGAAUAGUGGGGGUAGAAGUGUAGUUGAUGGAAAAUGUCUACUUAUAUCAUUGCUCAAAGAUGCUGUGCCUUUGGGAGUAAAUUAAUUAUGAGAUGUUUAGGAAAAUGGGAGGACUUGGAAGCAUUUAAGACUACAGGAUGUGGCCCCAUCCUACGUUCAGCCUCAGUUUUCAGUGAUGCUGCCUUCAUGCCCGGGUGCUGGAGUCCUUCGUGCAUGCCUUCAGUUUCCUUCCUUUGUGCUCUUCUUUGUGCUGUGAUUUUCUCAGCCUGGAAUACCCUUUUUCCACCUGCCAGAAUCCAAGCCACAGUACAAAUCCCAGAGCACAGGCUCACCCUCUUCGAGAAAUGGAUUUUCUGAAUGUGUUCUUCACUCUUCCCUGACCCCAGGUGGACGCCAUCUCCCAUCUGGUGUCUUAUGGAAUGAAUGUCACUUUCAGCCUAGAGACACAGUUGUGUGCCUGCCCCUUUUCCUCUUCUGGAUGGUGAACGGUGCUUCCUUAUUUCUGCAUUUUCUAGUUCCUAAGUGAUGUGCUUAAUGGACAAGAGUGUGAUGAGUCAUUGACACAUGAAAGGAGGUAUAGGAACUUUGGCAUUCAUUUCUGCUGUAUGAUUGAGUUUAUUUUUCUAGGAUGGAAGAUUUGACAAACCCGGAGGAUAUCCAAACAAACAUCAAAUGUGACCUGCAGGUGUCACUUUAUGGUUAUUUAAGAGGAGCACACUUGAAAAAUAAAAGCCAAAUUCACAUGCCAGGUAUUCUCUUGCUGUAGAACAUACGAGAAUUGCACAUAGGAUUCUUGGGAUGGCUUCAUUUCUCAGGAAAAGUGAAAAAUGACCAAACAAGGGAAGAUGGCCUUGCUGGAGGUUUUAAAAGUAAGCCAGCUAUGUGUAGGCCUGCAAAGGUGUUACCGAAUCCCUCUUCUCUGACCUCUUGUAGCUAGAGGGCCACUGUUCCAGUGUGGCACAAUGCCCUUCUUUAGGGUCAUGGGUUAAGCCCUUGGACUGUGGAUCGUUUUUAACCCCCCAGUCAACAGUAGAUACUUACUGACUUCUUGUCAGUUGAAGCUGGCUUUUUGGGUCCUGUCUUCCAGGGGUAGAACAUUUUGCCAUGAGUGACAUCAGUUUCCUCCCAGACCCUUGUGUUCUUCCUGAAUAACAAAAGAAGUGCUGUUUAAAUAAGAAGGAGCAGCUGGUUUAUGCGCCUGUUUCUGGAGUUGAGGGUGUGCUGUAUGACAAAGACGCUGUCUGUGUUGACCUUGGUGGCAGCCACGGUUUUCAGGCAUCAGUGAGGCAGGAGUCUUUGCUCUGAACUCUCAUUAUUCUUUCCUAAUCUAUUUCUUAAUCAAAAAAAGUAAUGUACUCAGCUUUUAUUUAUUGAAGAUUUUUCUCUUGUACUUAUAAUAAAGGCCCAAAUGCAUAUUGUCAAUAUGUA